RNAcentral lists this transfer-messenger RNA (468 nucleotides) under Rickettsia rickettsii. Its description in RNAcentral is "Permuted(alpha) tmRNA". It matches the Rfam family "Alphaproteobacteria transfer-messenger RNA", at positions 40 to 355 of the family's 355-position model. From Rfam's summary of the family: Bacterial tmRNA, also known as 10Sa RNA or SsrA, is named for its dual tRNA and mRNA-like properties. Its role is to liberate the mRNA from a stalled ribosome. To accomplish this part of the tmRNA is used as a reading frame that ends in a translation stop signal. The record is from RNAcentral. RNAcentral also lists the same sequence under 1 other name. Lineage: Bacteria; Pseudomonadati; Pseudomonadota; Alphaproteobacteria; Rickettsiales; Rickettsiaceae.
GCUAAUAUAGCUAUAGUAAUAAACGUAAUUUAGAAUAGAGGUUGCGGACUCGGGGGCAGUACCCGACGCCUCCACCAAAACUUUCUAAAUAAUUUGCUCCUAAAGGUAAUUUGUACGUCGAUCCGGUAUUCGAAUCCUCACGUUACUUGCGUGUACCCUGCGGUGCUGCGUUCCGUGUCGCCUUCAAAUUUCUCUUUAUUCGCUACGUCAUUUAGAAAAGUUUAAAUAUGUAAUAACUCUUAAAGAGUAGACAAUACGAAGUUCAUCGAGUAUUUUUGGGGGGCGAAAUAGGAUCGACGUGCCUAAAAAAAGAUUGCUUUUACUCGGGAUGAUUCCGCCGAUGGCUUGUGCCAUAUGGGUCAAAACAAAGAAACGCAAACGAUAAUAAUCGUUCUGUAGGUCGUUUAGCUUUAGCAGCUUAAUCCUACGCGGCUGGAGGGUGUGCCGGGCAACAGAAAAACCCUCACU